ACUCAAUUGACGAGUCCUAAAUAGGACGAAACGCGCGUCCUGAAU
Molecule: non-coding RNA, 45 nt
Filed under: Schistosoma curassoni
Lineage: Eukaryota; Metazoa; Platyhelminthes; Trematoda; Strigeidida; Schistosomatidae
Source: RNAcentral